GAUGAACGCUGGCGGCGUGCCUAAUACAUGCAAGUCGAGCGAACGGACGAGAAGCUUGCUUCUCUGAUGUUAGCGGCGGACGGGUGAGUAACACGUGGAUAACCUACCUAUAAGACUGGGAUAACUUCGGGAAACCGGAGCUAAUACCGGAUCAUAUUUUGAACCGCAUGGUUCAAAAGUGAAAGACGGUCUUGCUGUCACUUAUAGAUGGAUCCGCGCUGCAUUAGCUAGUUGGUAAGGUAACGGCUUACCAAGGCAACGAUGCAUAGCCGACCUGAGAGGGUGAUCGGCCACACUGGAACUGAGACACGGUCCAGACUCCUACGGGAGGCAGCAGUAGGGAAUCUUCCGCAAUGGGCGAAAGCCUGACGGAGCAACACCGCGUGAGUGAUGAAGGUCUUCGGAUCGUAAAACUCUGUUAUUAGGGAAGAACAUAUGUGUAAGUAACUGUGCACAUCUUGACGGUACCUAAUCAGAAAGCCACGGCUAACUACGUG
RNAcentral lists this ribosomal RNA (497 nucleotides) under uncultured bacterium. RNAcentral describes it as "partial 16S ribosomal RNA". It matches the Rfam family "Bacterial small subunit ribosomal RNA", at positions 28 to 507 of the family's 1533-position model. The record is from RNAcentral.